AAGCGAAUUGUGUUGCCUCAGGUCAUCGUGACCUUAAGCUCACAAUAAUUGAGAACACAGAGCAAGCAGUCUGGGAGCCACGUACACAUUUUGGCAAUAACAAUGGCAGGAACAAUGUGUUCACAAAGGCCCACUCGCACGCAAUCCGGUCACAAGCCAAGAACUUCCAGGAAAUCUAAUCAGAGCGUCCAGUCGUGCACAUACAUCCACACAGUGCAAUGUUGAAACUAUAUAAACGCCCAGAUUUGAAAUGGGAGUUGAGAAAAAGCUAGAUGUGUUCUGUUGAAAUGUUCAGCGCUGUGUUACGUGUACUGAGGACAGCAUGUGAAUUUGAUCUAUGAAAUAAACGCUUCUUCUCCCGUCCUGGGGCAAUCAGAUGAUCGACUGAAGGUGUCCUGAUUUGUUGACCAUUGAAAACCACCACAUUUUGAUGCAUUGGCCGGGCUGAGAAAAGAACCCGGGAACAACUUUAGAAUCACUGAAGAAAAACUUUAUCAGGAGAACGGGCAAAGAUCACCAAAUUGCCCCCAGAUGAUGCCUCCACCCCUUGACAAAAUGGCUGAGCCUCGGUACGCUAUGGAGCCUGAGAAGAACACCUGAGAGCUGAGAGCGGUUUGACUAUAUUAUUUCUUGUAUUUUCUUCUACAAUCUAAUUCCCAUGAAAGAGGAACCUGUUUAAGGGUCGCAUUGUAAAUUGAAAUUAUUAUUUUACUCAUGUUUUUUUUCUUUCCUUGUGUCAUUAACAUAUAAUUGGGGAUUGAUGCAUUACGAGGAAAAGGACCCAGGAACUCUGUGAUGAGAAGGACCUUACAGAGGAAUAGAAAAGGUGAUGAAGUUCCAUUGUAUUUAUCUCACACUUAGCUGUGUUAACAAGUAUUUAAAUUACAAGAUUCCUGAAAUAAUUGUGGAGCGAUUUGAAGAUGUAACACCGAUUGCACAGUAGGAUUGGACUGCCAUUUUCUUUGAGUAAAAUUUUCUCCUGUUUUUGUUAUCUUAGGAAGGUAAGAUGAUUGUAAUUUAUUUCAUGUUUCUUUAAACAGGUAAGAUGAUUCAACAAAAGAUAGACUUUUUAUUUGUUGUUUUGGCCUGAGGUCCAAUCUGAAGUCCUACAAUCGUGUUACAUGAUUUAUUUCAUUAUUAUCAGAAAGGUUAAUUCUCUGAGAUUUAAAUUUUACAGUUUAUUGGAGGAUAUUUGGAAAUAUUAAUAAUUGCAGAUAAGAGAGAAGAUACACCAAGAGACAAUGGGACUUUACUGCAACAAUCAAAAGUUCUCUUAAUUUAAUUUGAACAUUAAUUACAGAAACUGGACUCAUGAAAAACGGGAUGUGUUACAUCUCUAGAUUUAGUUUCAAGAUACUGGUCAGUUUUUUUCUUUCCUCUCAGGGUCACAUCUGACAGUGAGAUUUAAGGACUCUGGAUCAGCAUAAGCCAUGGACACAUGAACGAUAUGCGAGGCCCAGGGGACCACGACAACCAAGGAGCAGACUGACUGAACUCGAAUAUUAAGGGAGGUACAUCAAAGAGUAAUGAAAGGACAAGAGGACCAGCGAACUCUAGCUACACGUCAGAAAAUGCAACACCAAGGAGCGACCAGGAGAUGGACGACCGACAGGAUCAGAUGUGAUGAAAGCAUCACAGGAGGGAAUGGGAUCCUUCUCCAAUUGAAUUAGAUAAGUCAAACACUACGUACAACAAUAGGAUUGGAAUAAUAUGAAUAUUAUUGUCUAUGAUUAGUUGAUAUUUGCUGAUAAGAACACUAAUUGUGGUUUUUCUGUCUUACUCAUUUUGAGGGGAUGGAUUGUAAAGACCGGUGACCCCAGGCAUAAGACUGCAAACCUUCAACUUCCGCCUGCAAAAUACUAAAGGCGGGAACCUGUGAUCCUGUGUUUAUGCCUUUAAAAGCCAAGGACAGAGCCCUGAAGUGAAAGAACUAUAUUUUUGAUUUUUUCAACAGAAAAGAAGACAACACAAUUAUUGAUUAUUCUUGCAUUCUGUAAAUAUAAACCUGAUGAUUGUAACAUGCCAUUGCUUUGCAUUAUAAUCUGUAUUACUGUCUUAUUAUUUUACAUGGUAAGCUAUACAUGGGCGGCUGUUUAGAGGACUGGGGACUCAGACUACUGACUGACUGACCUACUUAAUUUUCUUUUUCUUUCAUUUACCUAGCCUUAUAUACUACAAUACACUAUAACUAAGUUCGAGUUAUUUGAAAUGUUUUGAAUAGUUAUCCUUCACAUAUUAAGUAAUAUCAAGAUUGGGUUGAAUGGUUCAAACAGUGUUGGUUUCACAGAUCAUCAUGAGUAGCAUGGUCAAGAUGCGAUUUGUGCUACGGCCGACGCCGGAGGAAGGAUGGAUGUUUGGGGGAAGCAUGGGUCGAUGGGAUAGUUUCCUCUUACAUGAGUUUGAAAUGAAAGAGUAAGAUGCCCACAGGACGAAAAAGGGGUUUUCGAUCCCAUACUAAUCGAAUCAUGGCCAUGUGGAAAAUGAUGAUCUUUCUUUGAAGGUUCAGUAAUAUUCACUUUGUUUUGUUAUUCACUUUAGUUUUGUUAUUAAUCAUGACACUUUAAUUUUCAUUUAAUUUGUUUUUCUCAACUUGCAUCCAUACUGGGCUGCGUCGGUAACACUUAGAUACCGUUUCAUUUAAACUUCACAUACACGUAAGUGCACUUAGUUGCGUAAUAUUACCAUCACUAUGCAAAUUCUCAUUAGUACUUCAUUUUCAAUGAACUACAGGAGGGAAUGUAGAAGCGAAUUGUGUUGCCUCAGGUCAUCGUGACCUUAAGCUCACAA
Long non-coding RNA from Cyprinodon tularosa, 2787 nucleotides. RefSeq lists it as uncharacterized. The record is from RefSeq and is a predicted model, not a curated record. NCBI's taxonomy places the organism in Eukaryota, Metazoa, Chordata, Actinopteri, Cyprinodontiformes, Cyprinodontidae. The transcript is spliced from 2 exons.